AAGAAAGUGGCAGAGUGGCCAUGCGGUCGGCUUGAAACCGACACAAGGGGGUUCGAUUCCUCCCUUUCUCG
Molecule: transfer RNA, 71 nt
Filed under: Eviota prasina (green bubble goby)
Lineage: Eukaryota; Metazoa; Chordata; Actinopteri; Gobiiformes; Gobiidae
Description: tRNA-Ser
Rfam family: tRNA
About the family: Transfer RNA (tRNA) molecules are approximately 80 nucleotides in length. Their secondary structure includes four short double-helical elements and three loops (D, anti-codon, and T loops).
Source: RNAcentral